RNAcentral lists this non-coding RNA (30 nucleotides) under Rattus norvegicus (Norway rat). The record is from RNAcentral. Lineage: Eukaryota; Metazoa; Chordata; Mammalia; Rodentia; Muridae.
UUGUAAUAGGCCAUAAUUUGCUAGUGAGGU